UAGCUUGGAUCAUGGGAUUUGCGGGCUUUCCAAGUCGGCUUUCCUUAAAUGCAUUAGCAGAGCUUUUGCUGCUAGCUAUUAGUGUGAUAGUUAUCUACGCUAUUAGUGAGCUGCAUGAAUGGAGCUCCGCUUCUAAUCGUCUUCACAGACAAUUUUGACAAUCUGACCUCAAAUCAGGUAGGACUACCCGCUGAACUUAA
This 200-nucleotide unclassified non-coding RNA is filed under the name soil metagenome. RNAcentral's name for it is "partial contains internal transcribed spacer 2 and large subunit ribosomal RNA". The record is from RNAcentral.